Molecule: ribosomal RNA, 415 nt
Filed under: uncultured bacterium
Lineage: Bacteria
Description: bacterial SSU rRNA
Rfam family: Bacterial small subunit ribosomal RNA
Source: RNAcentral
CAGGCCUAUCUAACUAGGCGCUGAGAGUGGCGGACGGGUGAGUAACGCGUGAGAAUCUGCCCAGUAGCGGGGGCAACCUGGUGAAAACCAGGCUAAUACCGCAUACGCCCUACGGGGGAAAGCUUCGGCCACUAUUGGAUGAGCUCGCGUCGGAUUAGCUAGUUGGUGGGGAAAGGCCUACCAAGGCGACAAUCCGUAGCUGGUUUGAGAGAAUGAUCAGCACACUGGGACUGAGACACGGCCCAGACUCCUACGGGAGGCAGCAGUGGGAAUAUUGGACAAUGGGCGAAAGCCUGAUCCAGCAAUGCCGCGUGUGUGGGAAGGCCUUCGGGUUGUAAAGCACUUUCAGCAGGGAGGAUAAUGACGUACCUGCAGAAGAAGCAUCGGCUAACUUCGUGCCAGCAGCCGCGGUAAU